UCCCUGUCCUACUAGUCCCUCCCUGUCCCCUCCUCCCAGUCCCCUCCUCCCUGUCCCCUCCUCCCUGUCCUACUAGUCCCUCCCUGUCCCCUCCUCCCAGUCCCCUCCUCCCUGUCCCCUCCUCCCUGUCCUACUAGUCCCUCCCAGUCCCCUCCUCCCUGUCCUACUAGUCCCUCCCUGUCCCCUCCUCCCUGUCCUACUAGUCCCUCCCUGUCCCCUCCUCCCUGUCCCCUCCUCCCUGUCCCCUCCUCCCUGUCCUACUAGUCCCUCCCUGUCCUACUAGUCCCUCCCUUCCAUCCCAGUCCCCUCCUCCCUGUCCUACUAGUCCCUCCCUGUCCCCUCCUCCCUGUCCUACUAGUCCCUCCCUGUCCCCUCCUCCCUGUCCCCUCCUCCCUGUCCCCUCCUCCCUGUCCCCUCCUCCCUGUCCUACUAGUCCCUCCCAGUCCCCUCCUCCCUGUCCCCUCCUCCCUGUCCUACUAGUCCCUCCCUGUCCCCUCCUCCCUGUCCUACUAGUCCCUCCCAUGGUAAUGUUUUGAAGGAGAUGUUCAGUCCUUGGGGGGUUUAGGUGUUCAUAUCUGCAUGUUCUGUGAGACGGACUAAGUGCCAAACUCUCCCGUGUGUCCGAUGUUCAACGUGAGCCUUACCACCGGUGCACUUUGUAGGGUACUAGUGUGGUUUCAGAUUGUGCCCUAAACUAAUGUGUACAAACAUCACGGAAGAUUAUAGCUUGUUUAUGUUUACAUUCUAGAAGUGGUUUGUUUACAUUUAGAAGUUAUUUAUUUAUGUUCUAGAAGCUAUUUGUUUACAUUCUAGAAGCUGUUUGUUUACAUUCUAGAAUCUGUUUGUUUACGGUCUAAAAGCUGUUUGUUUAUGUUCUAGAAGCUAUUUGUUUACAUUCUAGAAGCUGUUUGUUUACGUUCUAGAAUCUUUUUAUGUUUACAUUCUAGAAGCUGUUUGUUUACAUUCUAGAAUCUUUUUACGUUUACGUUCUAGAAGCUGUUUCUUCUCCAUUCUGGAAGCUGCCAAACUGCCCUGCUAGUUGUCUUCCUUCACAGAGCAUCACAGUCAGUCAGCUACCCAGAGAUAAAGUAGACAUACCACGAUGUCUGUUUAUUACUGUACAUACCCUGGGUCUCUCUACAUCUGCUCUGUGGAAUACAAACCCUGCUCGUUGUUACCAUGGUGACAACACACCCACACACACACACUCACUAGCGAACCUCACUGCCCAGUGUGUGUGUGUGUGUGUGUGUGUGUGUGUGUGUGUGUGUGUGUUGUUUCAGGUCUGAAGAAAAAGAAAGACAAGUAAAGUGUUCUAGAACCAGGAGGUGUUCUAGAACCAGGAGGUGUUCUAGAACCAGGAGGUGUUCUAGAAACAGGAGGUGUUCUAGAACCAGUCUGUCUCUCCAUCUUGUACAGCGGCUCUAGGUGAAGCCGAGACAUUUACAGUCAUAUUACAUAUUAUAUUUACAAUCCAAGAGGUUUUGGUGUUUGUUGAUAUAUAUAUAUAUAUAUAUAUAUAAAAAAAAAGGUCAAACAUGAUGAAUAUAUAUAAAACGCUGAAUAUAAAACUGACCUCCACAAAGCCUGGUGCCACCUGCUCCUUUUAGCGGUGAAACAGCGUCCUCUAGCAGCCGGAGGAAAUAGAGCUUUUAAAGUGCAACAACAACAGCUUCUUAGCAGAGACUAAUAAUAUCUCGAGCAAGAAUUUAGCUCGGACUGUCAGAGCGGUCUGAUUGGUGAGGGGGGGAACUUAGCUGUUAUUGGCAGAGAGAUUUCAAACCUCUCUUAUUGGUCUAUUAACCUAAUUAUGAUGUCACAAGGCUGGCCAAAAAAAACUCCGCCCCCAACCAAAAAACAGGAUUGAAAAUUUCAGAGGGGUCUUUUCAAAUAACUCUUCCCACUAAAAUGACAUUAUCAAUUUCACAGUAUUAUUCCAACCUCAUAGCGUGGAAAUAUAUCAAUCACAGGAACGUUUUUUCACUGCCCUGGGCCUUUAAAAGAAGUUUAAUAAAAAGUGACGAAUGUAAUAUUGUGUGGUAAAAAAAAAAAAAAUGUUCUGUUGAAUUCUGUGUAAUUAUGAAUUUUGAUUUAAAAGAGAUGUUUUGAUUUGUAAAAUUCAUUUGAUCUGAAUUGAGAUGGAGAAAUAAAAAAUAAAACGUUGAUUACCCCUAAAAAAAAAUACUGAAAGGUUGAAUAAAAUGACAGAUAAAACUCCGUUCUGUUAUAGGGGAGGUCUUUAUGUCCAGAUAAAAGGGGAGGUUUCCUUUAUGUUCAGAUAAAAGGGGAGGUUUCCUUUAUGUCCAGAUAAAAGGGGAGGUUUCCUUUAUGUUCAGAUAAAAGGGGAGGUUUCCUUUAUGUUCAGAUAAAAGGGGAGGUUUCCUUUAUGUCCAGAUAAAAGGGGAGGUUUCCUUUAUGUUCAGAUAAAAGGGGAGGUUUCCUUUAUGUUCAGAUAAAAGGGGAGGUUUCCUUUAUGUUCAGAUAAAAGGGGAGGUUUCCUUUAUGUCCAGAUAAAAGGGGAGGUUUCCUUUAUGUCCAGAUAAAAGGGGAGGUUUCCUUUAUGUCCAGAUAAAAGGGGAGGUUUCCUUUAUGUCCAGAUAAAAGGGGAGGUUUCCUUUAUGUCCAGAUAAAAGGGGAGGUUUUCCUUUAUGUUCAGAUAAAAGGGGAGGUUUUCCUUUAUGUCCAGAUAAAAGGGGAGGUUUCAGUAUGCAGAUCAGGGACGAUAUACAGGACCAGUCAAAAUGUUGGACAACACCAACUCAAUCCAGGGUUUUUAUUUUAAUUGUAUUUUUCUACAUUGUAGAAUAAUAGUGACGACAUCAAAACUAUGAAAACAACCCCUAUUAAUAUAGAAUGUUCUCUGGGUUUAAUAGACAUAUUAAAAGAUUAGUCAUAUAACUUUUUUAAAAAUUAUUAUAAUUAUUAUUCCCUUUAAUGUGGCAUGAAACAGAACCAGUCCUGUUUUCAGCUGAUUGUCUAACAAUCCCUUCCCGAAAGAGAUCUGUCACACAAAACUAAAAAACUAAAAAGUGUGAUGUCAUUCAGUGAUUGUCAUUCGUAACCAUUCGGCUUGUAGCCUGAAUUGAUGCGUCCACUGCUGUAAACGCGCGUCGCGGUCCGUCUCCGUCCGUCUCCGUAGAAACGCAGUCUGGAGGGAAUUUACUGGCCGUUUUAAAUGUUUCAUUCGCUCAUUUUCGUGCAGAUGAGCCGCGGUAAUGUUAAUCCAGAGGUUCCUACCAGCUGUUAUCUCUCUCUCUCUCUGAAUGUCUGGCUGCUGUCACAUCACCUCGGUCAAAUAAAGCUGGACAUUUUGGAUGACUG
This 3321-nucleotide long non-coding RNA is filed under the name Salmo salar (Atlantic salmon). Its description in RNAcentral is "lncRNA (ENSSSAG00000112067.1)". Lineage: Eukaryota; Metazoa; Chordata; Actinopteri; Salmoniformes; Salmonidae. The record is from RNAcentral.